GCCCAGACUCCUACGGGAGGCAGCAGUGGGGGAUAUUGCACAAUGGGGGGAACCCUGAUGCAGCGACGCCGCGUGGGUGAAGGAGCGUUUCGGCGCGUAAAGCCCUAUCGGCAGGGAAGAAGGAGGACGGUACCUGACUAAGAAGCCCCGGCUAACUACGUGCCAGCAGCCGCGGGAAUACGUAGGGGGCAAGCGUUAUCCGGAUUUACUGGGUGUAAAGGGGGCGCAGACGGCGAUGCAAGCCAGGAGUGAAAGCCCGGGGCCCAACCCCGGGACUGCUCUUGGAACUGCGUGGCUGGAGUGCAGGAGGGGCAGGCGGAAUUCCUAGUGUAGCGGUGAAAUGCGUAGAUAUUAGGAGGAACGCCAGUGGCGAAGGCGGCCUGCUGGGCUUUUACUGACGCUGAGGCUCGAAAGUGUGGGGAGCAAACAGGAUUAGAUACCCUAGUAU
Molecule: ribosomal RNA, 448 nt
Filed under: uncultured bacterium
Lineage: Bacteria
Description: partial 16S ribosomal RNA
Rfam family: Bacterial small subunit ribosomal RNA
Source: RNAcentral